RNAcentral lists this ribosomal RNA (193 nucleotides) under uncultured Klebsiella sp. Its description in RNAcentral is "partial 16S ribosomal RNA". It matches the Rfam family "Bacterial small subunit ribosomal RNA", at positions 340 to 525 of the family's 1533-position model. The record is from RNAcentral. Lineage: Bacteria; Pseudomonadati; Pseudomonadota; Gammaproteobacteria; Enterobacterales; Enterobacteriaceae.
UACGGGAGGCAGCAGUGGGGAAUAUUGCACAAUGGGCGCAAGCCUGAUGCAGCCAUGCCGCGUGUGUGAAGAAGGCCUUCGGGUUGUAAAGCACUUUCAGCGGGGAGGAAGGCGGUGAGGUUAAUAACCUCAUCGAUUGACGUUACCCGCAGAAGAAGCACCGGCUAACUCCGUGCCAGCAGCCGCGGUAAUA